AGCUCCAAUAGCGUAUAUUUAAGUUGUUGCAGUUGAAAAGCUCGUAGUCGGAUGUUGGGUGCGGCCCCGCCCGGUCAACCGCAUGGUGAGUACUGCGGCGGCGGCCCGCCUUACUGUCGGGGCUGGCCAGGACUUCACUGUCAUGGAUCCGGUGUCGACGUCGUCACUUUGAGAAAAUUAGAGUGUUCAAAGCAGGCCUACGCCCUGAAUACAUUAGCAUGGAAUGACACGAUAGGACUCCGGCCUAUUCUGUCGGUCUGCGGGCAGGGAGUAAUGAUCAAGAGAGACGGUCGGGGGCAUUCGUAUUUCGUUGUCAGAGGUGAAAUUCUUGGAUUUACGAAAGACGGACUUCUGCGAAAGCAUUUGCCAAGGACGUUUUCA
RNAcentral lists this ribosomal RNA (381 nucleotides) under uncultured eukaryote. RNAcentral describes it as "SSU rRNA". It matches the Rfam family "Eukaryotic small subunit ribosomal RNA", at positions 587 to 972 of the family's 1831-position model. The record is from RNAcentral.